UUUAGAGAGCAUAUCAUUCGCCUUGGGCCUCUCGAUUUCAAAAGAUUAAAUUUGUAAGAGACUUGCCCAACCUCAAAGUUACCUGCAGACACUUGUGGGCUAAUUUGCUUGCUUGCAAAGCGGCGGCUUGAUUUACUACUUGAUGGCUUUGCACCGUUAUGUGGUGGUUGACUGUCAUAAAUGGUAAAGUUGGUGCCAAGAAAAUCGGAGCUUAACUUCCCCACAUAGGCAUUGCUUCCUUGGGAUAAGUCUUCAGCAUCAAGAGAUAUUAUAUACUCAGUAUGAGCUCCAUGCCUAUAUCUCCG
Molecule: unclassified non-coding RNA, 305 nt
Filed under: Hevea brasiliensis (rubber tree)
Lineage: Eukaryota; Viridiplantae; Streptophyta; Magnoliopsida; Malpighiales; Euphorbiaceae
Source: RNAcentral